AGUGAACGCUGGCGGUAGGCCUAACACAUGCAAGUCGAACGGCAGCACAGUAAGAGCUUGCUCUUACGGGUGGCGAGUGGCGGACGGGUGAGGAAUACAUCGGAAUCUACUUUUUCGUGGGGGAUAACGUAGGGAAACUUACGCUAAUACCGCAUACGACCUACGGGUGAAAGCAGGGGAUCUUCGGACCUUGCGCGAUUGAAUGAGCCGAUGUCGGAUUAGCUAGUUGGCGGGGUAAAGGCCCACCAAGGCGACGAUCCGUAGCUGGUCUGAGAGGAUGAUCAGCCACACUGGAACUGAGACACGGUCCAGACUCCUACGGGAGGGCGCAGUGGGGAAUAUUGGACAAUGGGCGCAAGCCUGAUCCAGCCAUACCGCGUGGGUGAAGAAGGCCUUCGGGUUGUAAAGCCCUUUUGUUGGGAAAGAAAAGCAGCAGGUUAAUACCCCGCUGUCCUGACGGUACCCAAAGAAUAAGCACCGGCUAACUUCGUG
This 492-nucleotide ribosomal RNA is filed under the name uncultured bacterium. RNAcentral describes it as "partial 16S ribosomal RNA". It matches the Rfam family "Bacterial small subunit ribosomal RNA", at positions 29 to 507 of the family's 1533-position model. The record is from RNAcentral.